This 253-nucleotide ribosomal RNA is filed under the name uncultured bacterium. RNAcentral's name for it is "partial 16S ribosomal RNA". It matches the Rfam family "Bacterial small subunit ribosomal RNA", at positions 524 to 776 of the family's 1533-position model. The record is from RNAcentral.
UACGGAGGUCCCAAGCGUUGUUCGGAAUUACUGGGCGUAAAGGGAGCGCAGGCGGACAGGCCAGUCUAAAGUGGAAUCCCGGGGCUCAACCUCGGAACUGCUUCGGAUACUACCUGUCUUGAGUUCGUGAGAGGAAAGCGGAAUUCAGGGUGUAGCGGUGAAAUGCUUAGAUAUCCUGAGGAACACCAAUGGCGAAGGCAGCUUGUUGGCGCGAUACUGACGCUGAGGCUCGAAAGCGUGGGGAGCGAACGGG